This 72-nucleotide transfer RNA is filed under the name Acidomonas methanolica NBRC 104435. RNAcentral's name for it is "tRNA-Gly". The stretch from base 9 to 61 matches the Rfam family "tRNA", at positions 8 to 63 of the family's 71-position model. From Rfam's summary of the family: Transfer RNA (tRNA) molecules are approximately 80 nucleotides in length. Their secondary structure includes four short double-helical elements and three loops (D, anti-codon, and T loops). The record is from RNAcentral. Lineage: Bacteria; Pseudomonadati; Pseudomonadota; Alphaproteobacteria; Acetobacterales; Acetobacteraceae.
GUGUGGGAUGGUAGAGUAUAUGCAACCUUGCCAAGGUUGGGGUCGAGGGUUCGAAUCCCUUCGCCCGCUCCA